CCUACGGGAGGCAGCAGUGAGGAAUAUUGGUCAAUGGACGAGAGUCUGAACCAGCCAAGUAGCGUGAAGGAUGACUGCCCUAUGGGUUGUAAACUUCUUUUAUAAAGGAAUAAAACGAGGCACGUGUGCCUUUUUGCAUGUACUUUAUGAAUAAGGAUCGGCUAACUCCGUGCCAGCAGCCGCGGUAAUACGGAGGAUCCGAGCGUUAUCCGGAUUUAUUGGGUUUAAAGGGAGCGUAGAUGGGUUGUUAAGUCAGUUGUUAAAGUUUGCGGCUCAAACGUAAAAUUGCAAUUGAUACUGGCAGUCUUGAGUACAGUUGAGGUAGGCGGAAUUCGUGGUGUAGCGGUGAAAUGCUUAGAUAUCACGAAGAACCCCGAUUGCGAAGGCAGCUUACUAAACUGUGACUGACAUUGAUGCUCGAAAGUGUGGGUAUCAAACAGGAUUAGAUACCCUUGUAGUC
RNAcentral lists this ribosomal RNA (460 nucleotides) under uncultured bacterium. RNAcentral describes it as "partial 16S ribosomal RNA". It matches the Rfam family "Bacterial small subunit ribosomal RNA", at positions 338 to 795 of the family's 1533-position model. The record is from RNAcentral.